UACGGAGGAGGCAAGCGUUAUCCGGAAUUAUUGGGCGUAAAGCGUCCGUAGGUGGUGAUUCAAGUCAGCGGUUAAAGCGUGGGGCUUAACCUCAUACAGGCCGUUGAAACUGGAUUGCUAGAGUGCGGUAGGGGUCGAGGGAAUUCCCAGUGUAGCGGUGAAAUGCGUAGAUAUUGGGAAGAACACCGGUGGCGAAAGCGCUCGGCUGGGCCUGCACUGACACUGAGGGACGAAAGCUAGGGGAGCGAAAGGG
RNAcentral lists this ribosomal RNA (253 nucleotides) under uncultured bacterium. RNAcentral's name for it is "partial 16S ribosomal RNA". It matches the Rfam family "Bacterial small subunit ribosomal RNA", at positions 524 to 776 of the family's 1533-position model. The record is from RNAcentral.